Molecule: RNA transcript, 2722 nt
Organism: Lineus longissimus
Lineage: Eukaryota; Metazoa; Nemertea; Pilidiophora; Heteronemertea; Lineidae
Exons: 4
Source: RefSeq, a predicted model, not a curated record
GAUGCGUACCGAUAAAACAUAGUUAUUCAGAAGACAGAGGAGGACAGAGAUCUGCACCAAUAGACAAUAGGACUGUCCACAUUAGAACGGAGAAGAUGAAGAAGACUGAAGUGUUGUUUCAGAAUGCCACAUUCGUUUAGUUGUCAAAGCAAAUUUUGAAAGUGUUACACAACUGUUGCUUUCAUCGACGAAAUCUGCCCGUGCCAACUUGUCUUCUGUCCGUAAAGCUACAGAAAGGGAGACCAACACAGCUUUUGUAGGAGGCCGGUGAUUUACCCUCAUUCCAGGGUUCCGGUGCUGAACUGCUGGUGUAUGCCAUGACAUCGAAAAGGUCAUUUUUAUCUCUGAUGGGAUAUAUGCUCUUGACCUCACUACCGACGCGGAUUUCCUCUUGUAAAGAUAUAGUUACACCACCAAGAAUACCGAAUAACGGUAAGGUUUUUUCACGUAAAAAAGACGAAAUUAUCCAACAUGGCAAACGAGAGAUUUUUGUCGAAGGGACAUCUGUAUCGCAUGCGACAAAAGUGUAUCUUUUGCGAUGGUAAUUUUAGGUACUCCGAAAACAAUCGUUCGGCCUUGCUGAGACCUGCGAUAGAUAAGUAACUGGUUUAACCCGCACAUAAGCAAUUUUUGUCCCACAACCCAUCGUUAAUAAUCGUAAGUUGCAGGGAUAAAAUAUCUUGUAUCCGGGUCGCUUUAAGAUUUCGUGCUGUUUUUUUUCUUGAAUAAAGGUCUCCCCUAUCACUGUACAUUGACUCAGAAAAAAUUAUACAGGUUAACACUAAUGUGGAUCAGCUCGCCGGCUUCUUUUCUAAAAUCAUGAUGAUCGUUGGUCCGGGGUCCGGGGUAUAGAAGGAAUUAUGAGCGUUACAGGAGCCGAUUCAGGAGUUAUUGCAGCAGACACGCCGUCGGGUGAGGACUCCGUACCUGAUUUACUCCUAAAUUUUGGUCUGAUGUUCAGUAAUGACACGACCAAAUUUUGACUGACUGCUGUCUUUUUUUUGCCAGAUCUGAAAUCAUUGCCUUAGGUCACCCGGCUGCAGAGCUGCGCACAAAGUCCGGUCUGUUCUUCAGCACUUAGUGCGAAGUAAAUUGCACAUCCCUUACCGUUGUUCAUUCUUUUGCCUGCUGCAGUGUAUCGACUUUACUACCUGAAUGGCAGCGAUGCCAUGGUGAAAAAUGGACAGUAUGUAUACUCUACAUCAUUUGGUCAUGCUCUUCGAAUGACUGGCGGCAAACAUGAAAACAUCAAUAUCAAACAACGCUUCACGUCAGGGUUACAUCCUAAGCCCUACACUAUCGCUUUUUACGUUAAGGUCAAAUGUAGGCGCAAGCGGCAGUACAUUCUUGAUGAAAUUGAGAAAGGCUACAGGCUCUCCAUUUACCUUGUAUUCAGAGCUCUAGGAGUAGCACACUACGUUCGGAAAAGGGCAUAUUUUACGCAUGCGAAAAUUUCUUGCUUUGACAAACAGGAAGGGUGGCACCUAUUGGCAAUAAUUAUCCGCUACAAAAAAGGCGGUAGGUCAUAUAGGGCGAUGGUGUUUUGGGAUGGCUGGGACGUUACUCAAGACACAAAGCUUGGCACUGUCAAUGGGAGAUGGUGGGGAAAUCGACAUUAUCCUUUUCAUCUUGGAGCUGAAGCAUUUGGAAAGCACAAUUGGAAGUUCCAAGGAAAGAUGGCGAGGCUUAUGCUAUUUAAAUGUAUUCUAUCGCAGAAAUUUAUCUUCGAAAAUCUUGGUAAGCACGUAUUUUUAUGCGGCAAACUAAUACAUUUAGCCACCGUGUUCUUGAUAUACUCAUAUAACUUUAAACACAGGCUGUUUGUUUUCUAAAUAAUUCGAUACAGCAUAUCUUGAUAAUUAAGUUACGUGGUAACACCAAGAACGAAUUAAAGCUAUAUAAGGUACAUUGUACUCGCGGUUUUAGUGAGACAACCAAUAACUCCAGUUCAGUAUCAAUUCCUAAAAUUGAUAUCAUCGAAUGCACACAUAAUGUUUUCCAGUGAUUUGUAAACCGAAUCCAGGGCGUCCUGGGAAAUAUUGCGCCAUAGAGUAUAGAUCAAAGAUCCACCAGGCUGCCAGGGCAACUUCCGAAGAAACCAACGUCUGUGGGGGAAUUAUGUACACGUACUACCAAAGAUCGAAAUGCUGCAUAAACAUAUGAACACGUGAUUUACGGAAUGCUCCAGGAGAUUGCUUUCGAUGUGUACGUCAUGUGUGUGAUCCGAGUAAUAAUCAUUAUUAUAUGGGAAACUAUGGGAGGAUGCGUCACUGUUUUUUUCAACGUAUGUUUAAAGGAAUCUUGCAAAAAAAGUAAUCUGCUUCAGGAAAACUAAACAUUCAUCCCAUGCCCGUAUUCAUUACAUGUUUAAUCCAGGGCACCAACACAUUUUUUUGUCGGAUUCAAACAAAAGUAUCUAACAACACCAACCAAAUGUGGCGCAGGUGUAGCCUCCAACAGUUUUCGAAGCACAACGGACGAUUCAUGAUAGUCACAACGAUAUUGAUUGCGUGUUCGAAGAUGAAAAAGACGGGGGAAAUUGGACUCAAGCGGCGAUCAUUCCAGCCAUGAGGUUAUAAAUGCCAGAAAGCACAGGGUGCGAAUCUGGACUCUCAUUGUUGAGACAGUGUUGAUGCCGAAAUCGGACUACUUACCUUCAUGUGCACAUGCACAUGGAUUAACUGAGUUUACCUACAUAAAGCUUAUUCCGACGCAACCGUAC